This 1044-nucleotide ribosomal RNA is filed under the name Triticum aestivum (bread wheat). RNAcentral's name for it is "partial small subunit ribosomal RNA". Lineage: Eukaryota; Viridiplantae; Streptophyta; Magnoliopsida; Poales; Poaceae. The record is from RNAcentral.
AUGCCUUUAUCUACUAUAACUCAGCUAUGCACGGGGUCAAGAUAUAUGACAGUGCUAGUAUUAAGUGGUCUACCCAUCGAGAAGAUUCCAGAUGCUAUUGGGGAUCUUUUUAAUCUCCGCCAUUUGGGUUUGCGUUAUACAAAAGUGAAGAAGCUCCCCAAGUCUGUUGAGAAGCUUUCAAAUUUGUUGACACUAGACCUCUAUGAAUGUGACAUACAUGAAUUGCCUAGAGGGAUUGUGAAACUGAAGAAGCUUAAGCACUUAUUGGCUGAGAAAAUAACAGAUCCAGAUUGGAGAGAGUUUCAUUGUCGUGGGGGUAUGCGUAUCACCAAUGGCUUUGGAAAUCUAAAAAAUCUGCAAACGCUACAGGCAUUGGAAGCAAAUGGCGAGUCUGUUAAAUAUUUAGGUGAGUUGAGGCAACUCAGAAGCUUGAGGUUAUGGAAUGUGAAGGGAAUCUACUGUGCACGCAUCAUUGAGUCUAUAGUUCAGAUGCGAUAUUUGUCCACCUUAAGUGUUAAUGCAAGUGAUGAGAAUGAGGUUCUCUUGUUGAAUGUCUGCCUACCAAACCUGCAAAAGCUUUUUUUGAGAGGGCGAUUAGCGGAAGGGGCAUUGGACGAGUCUCCUCUCUUCCAAGCUGCUGAGGGGCAAACCUUAUAUGAAUUGGCUCUAUUUUCGUCAGAGCUAAGAGAAGACCCCUUGCCAUCUCUUUCUCGGUUGUCAAACUUGACACGUCUAGAGUUCACUAGAGCAUAUAAUGGAGAGCAGCUGACAUUUCUCACCGGGUGGUUUCCAAAGCUGAAGGUUCUUCAACUAGUGGACCUGCCCAAUCUGAAUCGAGCAGAGAUACAGCAAGGUGCCAUGGCGAGCCUGGAAAGAUUAGAGUUAUUCAAACUCAGCAGCAUGACAGAGGUCCCAACUGGCAUUGAGUUCCUCCUGCCACUCCAGUAUCUUGGCUUCCAUGAAAUCACCAGCGACUUUUUGACGUUGCUGUGCCAAUGUUCUGAAAUUCAAGGGUCACAGUGGCAGCACUCUAUCCGAGAUUGA